AAAAAUUUAGUUAAACUCCCCCAUAACAUUAGCUUGUCAAGCUAAAAUUAUCCAUUAGAUAAUUUUUA
RNAcentral lists this transfer RNA (68 nucleotides) under Copris tripartitus. RNAcentral's name for it is "tRNA-Asp". Lineage: Eukaryota; Metazoa; Arthropoda; Insecta; Coleoptera; Scarabaeidae. The record is from RNAcentral.